Mytilus californianus (California mussel) is the source of this 581-nucleotide long non-coding RNA. RefSeq lists it as uncharacterized. The transcript is spliced from 4 exons. The record is from RefSeq and is a predicted model, not a curated record. Lineage: Eukaryota; Metazoa; Mollusca; Bivalvia; Mytilida; Mytilidae.
UUUCAUAUGAAAUGAACAUUACAGGAUUAUGAUUGUAAGAAAAAACUUUUGACAGAUUAUGAUGACACGUUACUUGAUUUGGGUAUAUCCGGCUCUUAUAACACUAGUAUUGAUAACGAUUGCAGAGUCUGGUGGUCAUAAUCCAAUAGUAAGCUCUGAGCAAAAUACAUAUGACAUCAUUACCGGAGGAGCUGUAACACUGAAAUGCACAAUUGACUCCUCACAUCACGACGUUACAGACAUUAUAUGGAAAAAAGAAGUUUCACAAAUAAAUCAAGAUACCAAAUAUGUUAUUUCUUACAAUGCUUUGGGUCAGAGAAGCGGAUCGACAACUCUAACAAUUAAUAACGUACAGUCUUCAGAUUUUGCAAAUUACUACUGCCAUGUAGCAAACCAGGACGGUUGGGGAUAUAGUUCAGCUAUUACUCUUAAUAUACAUGCACUACAUUUUCCAACAGUAUCGGUACAAACAACAUACAACGCUAACAUCGGAGUCUCAGAAACAUUUCAAUGUACAAUUUCAUCACCAGCACAUGUAAUUACUUCUAUUUCUUGGAGUAAAGAAUCAGUGAUACUAUCCG